CGGCGUGCUUAACACAUGCAAGUCGAACGGAAAGGCCCUGCUUUUGUGGGGUGCUCGAGUGGCGAACGGGUGAGUAACACGUGAGUAACCUGCCCUUGACUUUGGGAUAACUUCAGGAAACUGGGGCUAAUACCGGAUAGGAGCUCCUGCUGCAUGGUGGGGGUUGGAAAGUUUCGGCGGUUGGGGAUGGACUCGCGGCUUAUCAGCUUGUUGGUGGGGUAGUGGCUUACCAAGGCUUUGACGGGUAGCCGGCCUGAGAGGGUGACCGGCCACAUUGGGACUGAGAUACGGCCCAGACUCCUACGGGAGGCAGCAGUGGGGAAUAUUGCACAAUGGGCGGAAGCCUGAUGCAGCAACGCCGCGUGCGGGAUGACGGCCUUCGGGUUGUAAACCGCUUUCGCCUGUGACGAAGCGUGAGUGACGGUAAUGGGUAAAGAAGCACCGGCUAACUACGUGCCAGCAGCCGCGGUGAUACGUAGGGUGCGAGCGUUGUCCGGAUUUAUUGGGCGUAAAGGGCUCGUAGGUGGUUGAUCGCGUCGGAAGUGUAAUCUUGGGGCUUAACCCUGAGCGUGCUUUCGAUACGGGUUGACUUGAGGAAGGUAGGGGAGAAUGGAAUUCCUGGUGGAGCGGUGGAAUGCGCAGAUAUCAGAAGGAACACCAGUGGCGAAGGCGGUUCUCUGGGCCCUUUCCUGGACGCUGAGGAGCGAAAGCGUGGGGGAGCGAACAGGCUUAGAUACCCUGGUAGUCCCCGCUGUUAAACGGUGGGUACUAGGUGUGGGGUGCAUUCCACGGGGUUCCGUGCGGUAGGUAACGCUUUAAGUACCCCGCCUGGGGGGUACGGCCGCAAGGCUAAAACUCAAAGGAAUGGACGGGGCCCCGCACAAGCGGCGGAGCAUGCGGAUUAAUUAGAUGCAACGCGUAGAACCUUACCUGGGUUUGACAUGGAUCGGGAGUGCUCAGAGAUGGGUGUGCCUCUUUUGGGGUCGGUUCACAGGUGGUGCAUGGCUGUCGUCAGCUCGUGUCGUGAGAUGUUGGGUUAAGUCCCGCAACGAGCGCAACCCUUGUUCACUGUUGCCAGCACGUUAUGGUGGGGACUCAGUGGAGACCGCCGGGGUCAACUCGGAGGAAGGUGGGGAUGACGUCAAGUCAUCAUGCCCCUUAUGUCCAGGGCUUCACGCAUGCUACAAUGGCUGGUACAGAGAGUGGCGAGCCUGUGAGGGUGAGCGAAUCUCGGAAAGCCGGUCUCAGUUCGGAUUGGGGUGUGCAACUCGACCUCAUGAAGUCGGAGUCGCUAGUAAUCGCAGAUCAGCAACGCUGCGGUGAAUACGUUCCCGGGGCUUGUACACACCGCCCGUCAAGUCAUGAAAGUUGGUAACACCCGAAGCCGGUGGCCUAACCGUUGUGGGGGAGCCGUCGAAGGUGGGACUGGUGAUUAGGACUAAGU
Molecule: ribosomal RNA, 1444 nt
Filed under: uncultured organism
Description: SSU rRNA
Rfam family: Bacterial small subunit ribosomal RNA
Source: RNAcentral